Molecule: long non-coding RNA, 463 nt
Filed under: Phoenix dactylifera (date palm)
Lineage: Eukaryota; Viridiplantae; Streptophyta; Magnoliopsida; Arecales; Arecaceae
Description: long non-coding RNA (PDAC_LNC001501)
Source: RNAcentral
AGAAAGGGGAGUGCGUGAGUGCUCAAGUCCGCGGAAGCCGUAAAUUAUUUUUGCACGCCGUACGGAGAGAAACAGGUUUCUUUUUCUUAUGUGUGUUUUUCACACGGAGAUUUAACAAAUUGGAUUUCUAUAUAAGAGUUGUAUUAGAUGCUAUAGGGAGUUAUAGUCUUCAUUUUUAGGGAACUCAUUACAUUUUUGGGUUCAUCACAUUGUGGUGGUUUAGGUAAGAUCAUUGUUACUCUUAGGGAGGUGAUAUUGGAGUUUUUUCAAUUUGUUGAGAACUCAAAUUUUGGGCAUAAACUUUAGUAUUGUAAACUCUAUAUUCAUUAUAGUGGAUUAAUCAGAUUUACCCUGUAGUUUUUUUCCUCUAUACUGGAGGGUUUUUCCUCGUAAAUUUGGUGUGUUUUCUUUCUACUUUUCAAGUGUUUGACAUAUUGCUUGUGUGAAUAAUGCUUCUAAUUGG